UACGUAGGGUGCAAGCGUUAAUCGGAAUUACUGGGCGUAAAGCGUGCGCAGGCGGUUAUAUAAGACAGAUGUGAAAUCCCCGGGCUCAACCUGGGAACUGCAUUUGUGACUGUAUAGCUAGAGUACGGCAGAGGGGGAUGGAAUUCCGCGUGUAGCAGUGAAAUGCGUAGAUAUGCGGAGGAACACCGAUGGCGAAGGCAAUCCCCUGUGCCUGUACUGACGCUCAUGCACGAAAGCGUGGGGAGCAAACAGG
RNAcentral lists this ribosomal RNA (253 nucleotides) under uncultured bacterium. RNAcentral describes it as "partial 16S ribosomal RNA". It matches the Rfam family "Bacterial small subunit ribosomal RNA", at positions 524 to 776 of the family's 1533-position model. The record is from RNAcentral.